CCCGGGUCCCUUUCUCCCCAGACCUGUUGAUUCCCUCCUCGUCAGACCUUGGGGUCACACACGUCUUUUGUACCUUCCUCACAUCCCUACAACAUCAAUAGCACUGGGCAGGUUUGUCUAAUAAACUUUUUGCGCUUCCUGGCUGGCCACUGAAAAUGCAGUUAGGCUCCUGGAGCUUUAAGAAGCUCCGGGCGUCCUGCCAGCCUGGAAAGUCUUGGCUGAGCCCCGGAUCCUCAGUUCCAGCCGCUCCCUGCUUCCUCCUUGCAGGCUGUCUGGCCUCCCUCACACAAAUCCUGCUCACAGGCAAGCCGCUCCCAGGAGAAGUCCGCUCAGCAGAGCUCCGGGGGCGUGGCAUGGCGGUGCUGAGGCCUGGUGCCUGAUCCCCCGAUCUGGUCUCCACUGCAAAAGCUUCGCCCGCAGGACUCAGGGACCGCCUGCGUCCUCUACCUGGGGUGCAGAAAGGGGACAGAGCUGGUGUCCAGCAUCCUCUCAUCUAGGCCACCAAGGAGCAGUUGGAGUUUCUGUGCAGCCGAGCAGAGCUGCAGACAGCUGUGAUGGGCCCCGGCCUAAGAGCCCCCGUCUCUGCUGGGCCUCGUGGCUCCUAGGAGUCCUCAGUUUCAUCAGAACCACAAGGUGCGAGAACUGGUGCAAAGGGAGAAUCAAGAGGGCCCUGCUCAGCCCAGCAGCCAUGGAGCAAACCCUUUACAAAGAGCUUCUGGGCCACACAGGUCCGGGGCAUUUCUGGGUACCUGUCAUCUGCAGUGCUGACUUUCAGAGGAGGCGCACUUUGAACGUGGACUUGAAGAACUCAACAACUUAUGGAAUUGUUCUCAGUGUGAUGUGUAGUACUUUUCUAUUGUAAGACUACCCACUAAAGAGAGGGGGAAUGGGCUAACCGAAUAGAGUUAAUGAUAUACAGUUAGAAAACUGUAGCUGCAGCUUGGGAUAAGAAGUCCCUUUCUUCCACCCUCCCCCAGCCUACAGCCGUUUCAGGCACUCGGUAACAUGGGAGUUGGUGAUUGCCAUGUGCACAGAUCCGUGAAUUUCCUUCUAAACCCAAGGUGUUGGUGAGCACACAAACUAGGGCUGGACCUUGAACUCAAGGCACUAUGGACUUGACCCACAGCCUAUUAUACUCCUUGGGUCCCAUCCCCCGUGCUCAGGAGGGGACUCUGAGAAGGGCAGGUGGUGGUGAGGGAAACCACACCAGCCCGGGACCUGGGAAGCUCUGGUUCUGACACAGGUAUAGUUGGUCCAGUGAUACUCAAGGUGAUGAUGACAGUGGCUGGAUUAAGGGAAACAAUUAUUGGAUACUGUGCUGGAAGUCUUUCCCUGCUUAAAUCCAAAGAACAGUUCACUGAAGUACACGCUAUUUUCACAAUGACGAAUCUUUUAGAGACCGAGUGCCAAAACUGCAGCCUCAAACCCACUUAUUUAUCACAAGAGCCAACACUGCCCCUGUAUGCGCUGUUAUCCAAUGCUCCCCUGCCCGGGCGAUGCUAGGCCGACUUGGCUCGGGUGCAGACAGAGAGGGCUCUGUGUGCCCACUGCAGCACAUGUGCCAUAGGUUCGAUGGCACUGCACUGUUUCCACUUAAUAAAUGAGAAAGCUGAAGCCAGAGGGAUUAAAUGACUGCUCGUGUUCACACUGCAGGAAGAGGGAGGACCUGGACUCACAUAGGAUCUCACUGACUCCAUUCUUGCCACUGCUCUAAUGCACCAUCAAACUAUGUCAGCUAACUGACACCAAAACAAAUCUCAGGUGCAUUGGAGACUAAACAUUAGCAUUGAAACCAUGAAAGUAUGAGAGAAAACUAGAGAAAACAAAAAAGCAUACCUUUUUGAAGUGAGGACUCGCUUAAAGCAAGAUACAUAACCAAUAAGUUCUUUAAAAAUUGACACAUUGGAUUUCAUGAAAGUAAUACUUUGGCCCAGGGACAAACAAGCUGUCCUGAAUUCUGUGGAAUAACAAUCAACAUUCCAAAUGGGAUUUUUCAUAGAAAUAUAAAGAAAUAGCCAGUAGUUGGUAUGGAAUCAGAAAAGACUGAAAAGAACAAAAACAGAAGAACCAAGCCAGAUGCAUCACAUUCCAUGGUUUCAAAGUAGAUUAUAAAGUUACUGUAAUAAAACAGCAUGGAAUAGGCAUGAAAAUAGACAUAUUGCCCAGUGGAACAAAAUAAAAGGCCAGAAAGAAAUCCAAGCAUUUACACUCAGUCGAUUUGAUUUUUCACAAACGUGUUAAGAAAGUACAGUGGGGGAAAGGACCAUCUCUUCUGUAGAACCUUUCGGAAAACUGGAUCUCCACAUGCACAGGAAUGAAAUUGGACACGCAUCUCACUGUGCAUUCAAAACCCAGCUCAAUAUGAACAAAGGCUUGAGACUAUGUAGACUUGAAAUAUAAAGCUUCUAGAAGAAAACUUAAGGGAAUAGCUCUAAGACAUUGAUCUGGAAAAUGAUUUCUUGGCUAGAACUCCAAAUCAAAGUAAAAAUUGACCAAGUGGAUUGCAUCAAACUACAAUGCUUCUCCACAGGAAUGGAAACAAUAGAAUGAAGAGAAAACCCUUGGCUUGGGAGAAAUUAUUUGCUAACUGUACCUCUGAACGGGACUAAUGUUCAAAUAUUUAAGGAAAACAAGCAACCCAAUAGCAAAAAACAUAAGUAACCCCAUUUAAAGAUGAGCAACAUAUUUGAACAGAUAUUUCUCAAAAGAGGAGAAAUAAAUGGGCCACAUAUAUAUGAAAGAUGUUCAAUAUCUAAUCAUCAGGGAAAUGCAGAUUAAAACCACAAUGAGGAACCACCUUGUUCCUGUUGCAAUGGGUACUACCCUGAAGAGGAAAGGUCAGAAGCACUAGUGAGGAUAUGGAAAAGGGAAC
Molecule: long non-coding RNA, 2872 nt
Organism: Heterocephalus glaber (naked mole-rat)
Lineage: Eukaryota; Metazoa; Chordata; Mammalia; Rodentia; Bathyergidae
Source: Ensembl